RNAcentral lists this ribosomal RNA (565 nucleotides) under uncultured archaeon. RNAcentral describes it as "bacterial SSU rRNA". It matches the Rfam family "Archaeal small subunit ribosomal RNA", at positions 259 to 824 of the family's 1478-position model. The record is from RNAcentral.
UACGACGGGUACGGGUUGUGAGAGCAAGAGCCCGGAGAUGGAUUCUGAGACACGAAUCCAGGCCCUACGGGGUGCAGCAGGCGCGAAAACUUUACAAUGCUGGCAACAGCGAUAAGGGAACCUCGAGUGCCAGGUUACAAAUCUGGCUGUCGUGAUGCCUAAAAAGCAUUGCAUAGCAAGGGCCGGGCAAGACCGGUGCCAGCCGCCGCGGUAACACCGGCGGCUCGAGUGGUAACCGUUAUUAUUGGGUCUAAAGGGUCUGUAGCCGGCCGGAUAAGUCUCUUGGGAAAUCUGGCAGCUCAACUGUCAGGCUUUCAGGAGAUACUGUCUGGCUCGAGGCCGGGAGAGGUGAGAGGUACUUCAGGGGUAGGGGUGAAAUCUUGUAAUCCUUGAAGGACCACCAGUGGCGAAGGCGUCUCACCAGAACGGACCUGACGGCAAGGGACGAAAGCUAGGGGCACGAACCGGAUUAGAUACCCGGGUAGUCCUAGCCGUAAACGAUACUCGCUAGGUGUCGGCCACGGUGCGACCGUUGUCGGUGCCGUAGGGAAGCCGUGAAGCGAGC